RNAcentral lists this ribosomal RNA (253 nucleotides) under uncultured bacterium. Its description in RNAcentral is "partial 16S ribosomal RNA". It matches the Rfam family "Bacterial small subunit ribosomal RNA", at positions 524 to 776 of the family's 1533-position model. The record is from RNAcentral.
UACGUAGGGUGCAAGCGUUGUCCGGAAUUAUUGGGCGUAAAGGGCUCGUAGGCGGUUUGUCGCGUCGGGAGUGAAAUCCACUGGCUUAACUGGUGGCUUGCUUUCGAUACGGGCAGACUGGAGGUAUGCAGGGGAGAACGGAAUUCCUGGUGUAGCGGUGAAAUGCGCAGAUAUCAGGAAGAACACCCGUGGCGAAGGCGGCUCUCUGGGACGGUACUGACGCUGAGACGCGAAAGCGUGGGGAGCGAACAGG